RNAcentral lists this ribosomal RNA (497 nucleotides) under uncultured bacterium. RNAcentral describes it as "partial 16S ribosomal RNA". It matches the Rfam family "Bacterial small subunit ribosomal RNA", at positions 28 to 507 of the family's 1533-position model. The record is from RNAcentral.
GAUGAACGCUGGCGGCGUGCCUAAUACAUGCAAGUCGAGCGAACAGACGAGGAGCUUGCUCCUCUGACGUUAGCGGCGGACGGGUGAGUAACACGUGGAUAACCUACCUAUAAGACUGGGAUAACUUCGGGAAACCGGAGCUAAUACCGGAUAAUAUAUUGAACCGCAUGGUUCAAUAGUGAAAGACGGUUUUGCUGUCACUUAUAGAUGGAUCUGCGCCGCAUUAGCUAGUUGGUAAGGUAACGGCUUACCAAGGCAACGAUGCGUAGCCGACCUGAGAGGGGGAUCGGCCACACUGGAACUGAGACACGGUCCAGACUCCUACGGGAGGCAGCAGUAGGGAAUCUUACGCAAUGGGCGAAAGCCUGACGGAGCAACGCCGCGUGAGUGAUGAAGGUCUUCGGAUCGUAAAACUCUGUUAUUAGGGAAGAACAAAUGUGUAAGUAACUAUGCACGUCUUGACGGUACCUAAUCAGAAAGCCACGGCUAACUACGUG